GAUGAAGAACGCAGCGAAAUGCGAUACGUAAUGUGAAUUGCAGAAUUCAGUGAAUCAUCGAAUCUUUGAACGCAUAUUGCGCUCUCUGGUAUUCCGGAGAGCAUGCUUGUUUGAGUAUCAGUAAACACCUCAACUCCCUUUUCUUUUUUGAGAUGGGAGCUGGACUUGAGUGAUCCCAACACUUUUCUCACUGGAAAGUGGCGGGUCACUUGAAAUGCAGGUGCAGCUGGACUUUUCUCUGAGCUAUAAGCAUAUCUAUUUAGUCUGCCUAAAAAACAGAUUAUUACCUUUGCUGCAGCUAACAUAAAGGAGAUGAGUUCUUGUGCUGACUGAUGCAGGAUUCACAGAGACAGCUUUGCGGCUGACUUUGUAAACUCGAUCUCAAAUCAAGUAAGACUACCCGCUGAACUUAAGCAUAUCAAUAAGCGGAGGA
This 433-nucleotide unclassified non-coding RNA is filed under the name soil metagenome. RNAcentral's name for it is "partial contains 5.8S ribosomal RNA, internal transcribed spacer 2, and large subunit ribosomal RNA". The stretch from base 1 to 120 matches the Rfam family "5.8S ribosomal RNA", at positions 35 to 154 of the family's 154-position model. The record is from RNAcentral.